AGUAAUGUGGCUUAAUGGUAGAGUGCUUGCCUAGCAUGCAUGAAGCCCUGGGUUCAGUUCCUCAAUACCA
This 70-nucleotide transfer RNA is filed under the name Dipodomys ordii (Ord's kangaroo rat). It matches the Rfam family "tRNA". Rfam says of the family: Transfer RNA (tRNA) molecules are approximately 80 nucleotides in length. Their secondary structure includes four short double-helical elements and three loops (D, anti-codon, and T loops). Further hydrogen bonds mediate the characteristic L-shaped molecular structure. tRNAs have two regions of fundamental functional importance: the anti-codon, which is responsible for specific mRNA codon recognition, and the 3' end, to which the tRNAs corresponding amino acid is attached (by aminoacyl-tRNA synthetases). tRNAs cope with the degeneracy of the genetic code in two manners: having more than one tRNA (with a specific anti-codon) for a particular amino acid; and 'wobble' base-pairing, i.e. permitting non-standard base-pairing at the 3rd anti-codon position. The record is from Rfam by way of RNAcentral. Lineage: Eukaryota; Metazoa; Chordata; Mammalia; Rodentia; Heteromyidae.